UUUAACUUAAAUAUUUCUUCUUUCUUUCUAAAUUCUGGCUUUCAUGUCUUACCAUUGUAGGCUAAUCUUAUUAGUACUGAAUUGAUGGGGAUAGUCUCUAUUCUGAAAAAGAAAGAUCGAGAGUCUACAAAGGCUAUCUCCGAGGCUAGAAAAAUUGCCAAGGAAACCCACCUUGAGGCAACGAACUGGAAGGAGCAGUUUGAGAAUGCUUAGAGGACCAUAGAGGAGUUGCAAGAAAGUAGAAAUCACCUGGAGCAGCAAAAGCGUGGUUUGACUUCUGAGCUAGCAGUUGCCAAGGCUUCUUCAAGCUAAUUUGAAAAAGAUAAGGAGAUUUUGGAGUGCUCAUUUUCAGAAUAUUUGUCAACGCCAGUGAAGAAAUCAGAAAGCUUGAGGCACUUGUGGAGAAGAAAGAAGAAUAUGCAGGGGAGUUAGUGCAAAGCUUGACUCAAGCUCAGGCUAACUUAAGGAUCUCCUCUGACAAGAUACGUGCCUUGGAGAGUUCUCGUGCCUCCCUUGAAGCUUCCCUUGAUUCUCGCUUAGCUGAACACCAGAUAUUAAAGAAUGAUCUUGCUAUGUGAGAAGGGGAGUAUGGACUUCUUGAGGAGAACUUCAAAAUAGAGGUAAGUUGGGAUUUUCUAAAAUCUCACCGUGAUGCUUUGAUGGAGGCUACUCAAGAAAACUUUGAUUUGCAAUCUGAAUUAGCCAAAGUCUUAGACACUAUUGAAAAA
Molecule: long non-coding RNA, 728 nt
Filed under: Nicotiana benthamiana
Lineage: Eukaryota; Viridiplantae; Streptophyta; Magnoliopsida; Solanales; Solanaceae
Description: long non-coding RNA (NBEN_LNC017259)
Source: RNAcentral